GACGAACGCUGGCGGCGUGCUUAACACAUGCAAGUCGAACGGAAAGGCCCUGCUUUUGUGGGGUGCUCGAGUGGCGAACGGGUGAGUAACACGUGAGUAACCUGCCCUUGACUUUGGGAUAACUUCAGGAAACUGGGGCUAAUACCGGAUAGGAGCUCCUGCUGCAUGGUGGGGGUUGGAAAGUUUCGGCGGUUGGGGAUGGACUCGCGGCUUAUCAGCUUGUUGGUGGGGUAGUGGCUUACCAAGGCUUUGACGGGUAGCCGGCCUGAGAGGGUGACCGGCCACAUUGGGACGGAGAUACGGCACAGACUCGUACGGGAGGCAGCAGUGGGGAAUAUUGCACAAUGGGCGGAAGCCUGAUGCAGCAACGCAGCGUGCGGGAUGACGGCCUUCGGGUUGUAAACCGCUGUCGCCUGUGACGAAGCGUGAGUGACGGUAAUGGGUAAAGAAGCACCGGCUAACUACGUG
This 468-nucleotide ribosomal RNA is filed under the name uncultured bacterium. RNAcentral's name for it is "partial 16S ribosomal RNA". It matches the Rfam family "Bacterial small subunit ribosomal RNA", at positions 28 to 507 of the family's 1533-position model. The record is from RNAcentral.